CUUUGAUCGGAGGCUCUGGAAGGAUGGGAUCCUUCAAAUAGCAUAAGUAGUUUAUUUUUAACAGAUACAUGUAUGCAAAUAUUACUUAAACAUAAAUCUGGAAAAUAUUUAACUUAGCUGAGUUGUGUUGGAGAGAGCAAUAAGUUUCUCAGAGAUCCCAAGAUGAAAAGAAAUUUACGUAGGAAGUCAGAGUGUUAAUAAAGUGUCUCUGGAAUGGAAACUAUCAUGUACACUUCACUAUUUCAGCUGGUAAAAUCAUUUUAUCUUUUUUUCUUGUCAAUUAUGGAUAGGCUUAAGAUUUAUCUGAAGAAAGAAGGGGAAAAGUUUCUGUAGAAUAUGUCGUCUAAUGAUGAUGUUUUCUACUUUAUUUUAUAAUGUUUGCUGGUAGAGGAUCAUUCACAAAGAAGAACAAGUAUAAUAUAGGAGAUUUGCAGGCAAUAGAAAAGGACUUCAGCAUUGGAGAAGCAACCUUGGAGAAUUCAGAAUCAAUAGGUAAGUACCGUUCAAUCUCUCUGAGUUCCCAUAGGCUCAGGUUAGUUGAUUCUGUAGGUUUUCAUGUGGUGUCCAUGACUGCUCUGGCUCCUUUAAUCUC
Molecule: long non-coding RNA, 592 nt
Filed under: Mus spicilegus (steppe mouse)
Lineage: Eukaryota; Metazoa; Chordata; Mammalia; Rodentia; Muridae
Description: lncRNA (ENSMSIG00000029600.1)
Source: RNAcentral